This 465-nucleotide ribosomal RNA is filed under the name Vreelandella stevensii. Its description in RNAcentral is "partial 16S ribosomal RNA". It matches the Rfam family "Bacterial small subunit ribosomal RNA", at positions 338 to 795 of the family's 1533-position model. The record is from RNAcentral. Lineage: Bacteria; Pseudomonadati; Pseudomonadota; Gammaproteobacteria; Oceanospirillales; Halomonadaceae.
CCUACGGGUGGCUGCAGUGGGGAAUAUUGGACAAUGGGGGGAACCCUGAUCCAGCCAUGCCGCGUGUGUGAAGAAGGCCCUCGGGUUGUAAAGCACUUUCAGUGAGGAAGAACGCCUGGUGGUUAAUACCCAUCAGGAAAGACAUCACUCACAGAAGAAGCACCGGCUAACUCCGUGCCAGCAGCCGCGGUAAUACGGAGGGUGCGAGCGUUAAUCGGAAUUACUGGGCGUAAAGCGCGCGUAGGUGGCUUGAUAAGCCGGUUGUGAAAGCCCCGGGCUCAACCUGGGAACGGCAUCCGGAACUGUCAAGCUAGAGUGCAGGAGAGGAAGGUAGAAUUCCCGGUGUAGCGGUCAAAUGCGUAGAGGUCGGGAAGAAUACCAGUGGCGAAGGCGGCCUUCUGGACUGACACUGACACUGAGGUGCGAAAGCGUGGGUAGCAAACAGGAUUAGAUACCCUUGUAGUC